RNAcentral lists this long non-coding RNA (539 nucleotides) under Mytilus galloprovincialis (Mediterranean mussel). Lineage: Eukaryota; Metazoa; Mollusca; Bivalvia; Mytilida; Mytilidae. The record is from RNAcentral.
GGGCUAUCUCGGUUGCAAGAUCUUUGAGUAUUCUAGGUUUUAGGUUGUCUGGUCCUGAAGCUUUAUUUGGAUUCAUUUUUUUAAGAAGUUUUUGCACUCCAUUUUCUGUAAUGAUAAGAUCUUCAGCAGAAGGGUAUUGACCUGGCAUGUUACAACGAGAUUUGAAUUCUUCUGGACUAUAUGUCUCUUUGGAAGAGAAUGCAGAUUGAAACUGCUUAUUCAGGAUUGUUGCUUGGUCCACAGGAUGCGAGUGAAGUACUCCAUCACUACGAAGUGGUGCCACUCCGCUGCUAUCAGUCUUCAUAUGUUUGAUAUAAGUCCAGAAACGUUUCAUAUUGCUGUGUGGUUGGGUUUCUUCUUUAGGUGUUACUAUAUUUUCGAUGUACUUCCAAUAUGCACGACGUAGUUCUUUCUGUACUUUUUGCCUGGCUUCUUUGAAUUUUGAUGUAAUCUUAGGAUCCGCUGACUUUUUCUUUCUUUUGUAUAGUCUGUCACGGCGGCGUAUUAAUUUACGUACAUUUGGUGUUAGCCAAGGUAAG